RNAcentral lists this ribosomal RNA (464 nucleotides) under uncultured bacterium. RNAcentral describes it as "bacterial SSU rRNA". It matches the Rfam family "Bacterial small subunit ribosomal RNA", at positions 926 to 1391 of the family's 1533-position model. The record is from RNAcentral.
CAAGCGGCGGAGCAUGCGGAUUAAUUCGAUGCAACGCGAAGAACCUUACCAAGGCUUGACAUAUACCGGAAACGGCCAGAGAUGGUCGCCUCCUUGUGGUCGGUAUACAGGUGGUGCAUGGUUGUCGUCAGCUCGUGUCGUGAGAUGUUGGGUUAAGUCCCGCAACGAGCGCAACCCUCGUUCUAUGUUGCCAGCGAUUCGGUCGGGGACUCAUAGGAGACUGCCGGGGUCAACUCGGAGGAAGGUGGGGAUGACGUCAAAUCAUCAUGCCCCUUAUGUCUUGGGCUUCACGCAUGCUACAAUGGCCGGUACAAAGGGCUGCGAUACCGUAAGGUGGAGCGAAUCCCAAAAAGCCGGUCUCAGUUCGGAUUGAGGUCUGCAACUCGACCUCAUGAAGUCGGAGUCGCUAGUAAUCGCAGAUCAGCAACGCUGCGGUGAAUACGUUCCCGGGCCUUGUGCACACC